AACGAACGUUAGCGGCGCGCCUAACACAUGCAAGUCGCACGAGAAAGGGCUUCGGCCCCGGUACAGUGGCGCACGGGUGAGUAACACGUAGAUAAUCUUCCCUCGAGUGGUGGAUAACUCUCCGAAAGGAGAGCUAAUACAGCAUGAGACCACGGCUUCGUUGAAGCUGCGGCACAAGCAGGCCUCUACACGUAAGCUUGCGCUUGAGGAUGAGUCUGCGGCCGAUCAGCUAGUUGGUAGGGUAAUGGCCUACCAAGGCUAAGACGGGUAGCUGGUCUGCGAGGAUGAACAACCAUACUGGAACUGAGUCACGGUCCAGGCUCCUACGGGAGGCAGCAGUGGGGAAUCUUGCGCAAUGGGGGAAAGCCUGGCGCAGCGACGCCGCGUGAGCGAUGAAGGCCUUCGGGUUGUAAAGCUCUGUAGGGAGGAAAGAAUAAGGUUUGGCUAAUAUCCAAGCUGAUGACGGUACCUCCUUAGCAAGCACCGGCUAACCCUGUGCCAGCAGCCGCCGUAA
RNAcentral lists this ribosomal RNA (514 nucleotides) under uncultured bacterium. RNAcentral's name for it is "partial 16S ribosomal RNA". It matches the Rfam family "Bacterial small subunit ribosomal RNA", at positions 29 to 523 of the family's 1533-position model. The record is from RNAcentral.